GGAGGAGUUAGGAAUACAAAUUAGUAAAAAUUACCUCAAGAAGAUGAAAGUUGAUACCCGAAGAGGACCGGUUAUGAACCUAGAUUGAAAUCAGACCCUGAGGCACAAAACCACACUCUGACGGUGACUCAAGGACUCUUUGGCAAAUUGGAGAGUGGUAUUUGAUAGAAGAUUGGAUAGGGUUUCUAUGGAUGUUGGUUUUGGGUGAUUUGGAUCUGUAUUGACUUUGUAAUAGCUUUGCAAAGUCAAGGUUUGUUUCAGAUGACUUAGGUUUUAUGAAAUAAAAUAGGGUUUACAUUUUGGGUGAUUUCAAGAGUUUUGUUAUAGAUCUACGAGUGAAAUUUUGUGGAUUUAUUUUUAUAGUUUUUUUCAAUGUGUUUUGUGAAUUUGAGCUCGAUCUAAUGGUUGAAUUGAAGGAUAUUGAGGUUUAAGCGGGUCAAGGUCAUAGAAAGUAGAAUUUUAGGUCUAGUAAGGAUUUUUAAGAUUUCUUGCAAUAUGCUAGUUGGAUUGGAGUGAAACUUGUGUGAGAGGAUAUUAGACUUGUUUUUCUAUGGGUAUGAGAAUUUUGAAAUCAAUCGAAUGGUUCAAAGGAGAGAUAUUGGCUCUGGAAAAUUUGCAUCAAGAUUGGAAAACGAGGCCGGCCAAUAUCCAAGCACAUUUUUGAGGAUAUCGUCAAUUUAGUAACUCCGAUCUUUAUCGAUUUUUUUUGUGCUUAUUUUCAACUUAUUUUUUUAGAAGUGUGCAAAAUUUGAGUUAAGAUCAAUGGUUAAUUCAUUAGUUAUUGAGGUUUAAAUCUAUAGUAGGAAUUAUUAGGAUUUGGUAUAGGAUUUGGUUAGGAUUUGAUUUGGGGUUUAGGAUUUGGAUUAGGAUUUGGUAUAGGAUUUGGUUAGGAUUUGAUUUGGGGUUUAGGAUUUGGAUUAGGAUUUGAUUUAGGAUUUAGGAUUUGGUUAGGGUUUGGUUAGGAUUUAGGAUUUGAAUUAGGAUUUGGUUUAGGAUUCGAUUAGGGUUUGAUUUAGGAUUUAGAAUUUGGUUAGGGUUUGAUUUAGGGUUUAGGAUUUGGAUUAGGAUUUGAUUUAGGGUUUGGUUAGGAUUUGAUUUAAGAUUUAGGAUUUGGAUUAGGAUUUAGUUUAGGAUUUGGUUAGGAUUUGAUUUAGGAUUUAGGAUUUUAUUAGGAUUUAAGAUUCAAUUAUUUUGGCUUAAAAUUUGAAUGAAGUUCAAUAGGAUUUUAACUAGAAUUAAAUUAAGAUUGAAUUGAGAUGUAUUUGAAUGAAAUUUGUGUUCUUUCUAAUAUUUCUUUAAAAAUUCCUAUUAUUUGUUUGAAAUUUCUUUGAGUUUUUUUUUUGAAUUUGAUUAAGCUUACUUAGUAUUAUUAUAGUCUAAUUAGAAUAUUAUUAGUAUUCUAUUAGAAUUAGGGUUUUGUUAUUAUAAUAUCUAUUCUUCUUUCCACAGUCAGGUGCCCGGAGCAUUCUCAAGCAAGACUUCACGUAUUACGACAACGCUAUGAAUAUUUUGAAUGGCUGAUUUUAUCCUUUGGCUUCACCAAUAUUCCAUCUUUUUUUUAUGGAUCACAUAAAUAGAUUAUUUCAAGA
This 1589-nucleotide long non-coding RNA is filed under the name Physcomitrium patens. RNAcentral describes it as "long non-coding RNA (PPAT_LNC007081)". Lineage: Eukaryota; Viridiplantae; Streptophyta; Bryopsida; Funariales; Funariaceae. The record is from RNAcentral.